RNAcentral lists this non-coding RNA (30 nucleotides) under Homo sapiens (human). The record is from RNAcentral. Lineage: Eukaryota; Metazoa; Chordata; Mammalia; Primates; Hominidae.
UCCCUCUAUCUGAUGGGCUCCAGAGGCUUC